Molecule: ribosomal RNA, 406 nt
Filed under: uncultured bacterium
Lineage: Bacteria
Description: partial 16S ribosomal RNA
Rfam family: Bacterial small subunit ribosomal RNA
Source: RNAcentral
AUUGAACGCUGGCGGCAGGCCUAACACAUGCAAGUCGAACGAGUGGCGGACGGGUGAGUAAUUUCUGGGCAACUGCCCGAUGGAGGGGGCUCACUCCUGGAAACGGUCGCUCAUACCGCAUACCCUCGGAUGUGCCCAGAUGGGAUUCGCUAGUAGGUGGGGUAACGGCUCACCUGGGGGACGAUCCCUAGCUGGUCUGAGAGGAUGACCGGCAACACUGGAACUGAGACACGGUCCAGACUCCUACGGGAGGCAGAAGUGGGGAAUAUUGCACAAUGGGCGAAAGCCUGAUGCAGCCAUGCGGGGUGUAUGAAGAGGGCCUUCGGGUUGUAAAGUACUUUCAGCGAGGAGGCGUUACUCGCAGAAGAAGCACCGGCUAACUCCGUGCCAGCAGCCGCGGUAAUUC